RNAcentral lists this non-coding RNA (28 nucleotides) under Bombyx mori (domestic silkworm). Lineage: Eukaryota; Metazoa; Arthropoda; Insecta; Lepidoptera; Bombycidae. The record is from RNAcentral.
GAACGUUGCAAGUGUACCGGUGACCGGA